RNAcentral lists this ribosomal RNA (506 nucleotides) under uncultured bacterium. RNAcentral's name for it is "partial 16S ribosomal RNA". It matches the Rfam family "Bacterial small subunit ribosomal RNA", at positions 29 to 523 of the family's 1533-position model. The record is from RNAcentral.
AUUGAACGCUGGCGGCAGGCCUAACACAUGCAAGUCGGACGGUAGCACAGAGGAGCUUGCUCCUCGGGUGACGAGUGGCGGACGGGUGAGUAAUGUCUGGGGAUCUGCCCGAUAGAGGGGGAUAACCACUGGAAACGGUGGCUAAUACCGCAUAACGUCGCAAGACCAAAGAGGGGGACAUUCGGGCCUCUCACUAUCGGAUUAACCCAGAUGGGAUUAGCUAGUAGGCGGGGUAACGGCCCACCUAGGCGACGAUCCCUAGCUGGUCUGAGAGGAUGACCAGCCACACUGGAACUGAGACACGGUCCAGACUCCUACGGGAGGCAGCAGUGGGGAAUAUUGCACAAUGGGCGCAGGCCUGAUGCAGCCAUGCCGCGUGUAUGAAGAAGGCCUUCGGGUUGUAAAGUACUUUCAGCGGGGAGGAAGGCGAUGUGGUUAAUAACCGCAUUGAUUGACGUUACCCGCAGAAGAAGCACCGGCUAACUCCGUGCCAGCAGCCGCCGUAA